This 790-nucleotide ribosomal RNA is filed under the name uncultured Staphylococcus sp. Its description in RNAcentral is "bacterial SSU rRNA". It matches the Rfam family "Bacterial small subunit ribosomal RNA", at positions 129 to 905 of the family's 1533-position model. The record is from RNAcentral. Lineage: Bacteria; Bacillati; Bacillota; Bacilli; Caryophanales; Staphylococcaceae.
CCUAUAAGUCUGGGAUAACUUCGGGAAACCGGAGCUAAUACCGGAUAACAUUUAGAACCGCAUGGUUCUAAAGUGAAAGAUGGUUUUGCUAUCACUUAUAGAUGGACCCGCGCCGUAUUAGCUAGUUGGUAAGGUAACGGCUUACCAAGGCAACGAUACGUAGCCGACCUGAGAGGGUGAUCGGCCACACUGGAACUGAGACACGGUCCAGACUCCUACGGGAGGCAGCAGUAGGGAAUCUUCCGCAAUGGGCGAAAGCCUGACGGAGCAACGCCGCGUGAGUGAUGAAGGGUUUCGGCUCGUAAAACUCUGUUAUUAGGGAAGAACAAAUGUGUAAGUAACUGUGCACAUCUUGACGGUACCUAAUCAGAAAGCCACGGCUAACUACGUGCCAGCAGCCGCGGUAAUACGUAGGUGGCAAGCGUUAUCCGGAAUUAUUGGGCGUAAAGCGCGCGUAGGCGGUUUCUUAAGUCUGAUGUGAAAGCCCACGGCUCAACCGUGGAGGGUCAUUGGAAACUGGGAAACUUGAGUGCAGAAGAGGAAAGUGGAAUUCCAUGUGUAGCGGUGAAAUGCGCAGAGAUAUGGAGGAACACCAGUGGCGAAGGCGACUUUCUGGUCUGUAACUGACGCUGAUGUGCGAAAGCGUGGGGAUCAAACAGGAUUAGAUACCCUGGUAGUCCACGCCGUAAACGAUGAGUGCUAAGUGUUAGGGGGUUUCCGCCCCUUAGUGCUGCAGCUAACGCAUUAAGUACUCCGCCUGGGGAGUACGACCGCAAGGUUGAAACUCAAA